Molecule: ribosomal RNA, 249 nt
Filed under: Torulaspora sp. 6C-1Y12
Lineage: Eukaryota; Fungi; Ascomycota; Saccharomycetes; Saccharomycetales; Saccharomycetaceae
Description: partial 26S ribosomal RNA
Rfam family: Eukaryotic large subunit ribosomal RNA
Source: RNAcentral
UUGCCAUAUCAAUAAGCGGAGGAAAAGAAACCAACCGGGAUUGCCUUAGUAACGGCGAGUGAAGCGGCAAAAGCUCAAAUUUGAAAUCUGGUACCUUCGGUGCCCGAGUUGUAAUUUGUAGAAGGUAACUUUGGGGCUGGUCCUUGUCUAUGUUCCUUGGAACAGGACGUCAUAGAGGGUGAGAAUCCCGUGUGGCGAGGAUCCCAGUUCUUUGUAAAGUGCUUUCGAAGAGUCGAGUUGUUUGGGAAU